Molecule: unclassified non-coding RNA, 1774 nt
Filed under: Hevea brasiliensis (rubber tree)
Lineage: Eukaryota; Viridiplantae; Streptophyta; Magnoliopsida; Malpighiales; Euphorbiaceae
Source: RNAcentral
AAUAUUCAAAAUUACUGAUAACAGCUCAAUCCUGCAAACCCUAAAAUAAAAAAUCGUAAAUUUGUUUGCGUUCCUCCGCCACAACUCACGAGUCUGAUAGGAUUCCAAAUUCUUAUCUCAAUCUCUCUUGCUCUUUAACUUCCAUUCCAUUGCUGCCUGGCUCUUCGCAUAUUGCUUCUCACUGAUCAAAUUCCACUUUCGCAGCCACAACACUGCCGCCAAUCUACAUGGCUAGCCGAGGAGGCAGCGGUGGUAGAGACCGAUUUCGCAGAGAUUUUGGGUCUUCACGUUACGAAGACAGUACUAGUAGUAAUAGCAGUAGUAAGCGAGGCAAUAAUCCGCCUUCAAGGCACCUAUGGGUUGGGAAUUUGUCGCACAGUUUGGUGGAGAAUGAAUUGACCGAUCACUUUUUGCAGUAUGGGGAGUUGGAUACAGUAGCUUUCCAGGCAGGGCGGAGCUACGCAUUUAUUAAUUUUAAGAGGGAAGAUGAUGCGAUUGUAGCCAUGAAGGAUCUCCAGGGUUUUCCACUUGCUGGCAACCCGCUUAGGAUUGAGUUUGCUAAGGCGGUUAGUUUUGCCCCACCUUUUUCUGUUAUUUUUGACAUGUCUACUUUUAUCUUUCUUGUAGUAUCUGUGUCUAUGUAUUUGUUCCUUGAGUUUAAUUCAAUUGAUUGUUUUCUAUCAUAAUUGCAGCUUAAUUAUUCAAUGUUAAAAGAUUAGAGCUUGAGCUUAAUCCCUAUUAAUGAAGAAGGGUGAAAAUUUUAACUGAUCUUUUAAUAAAAAUAAUAAUAAGAAAAUACUUAAUUUUGUAUAUAUUACACUCCAUGAUUUAUGCUCAGUUGCAAGGAUAAGCUCCUUAUCAUCAUAAUUCAGAACUUGUACUCGAAAUUUCAUUGAGAAGUGACGGCAAAAACUUUAGGAUUUAUCUAUUAUGCCCAAAAGCAGUACAGGUUUUACAUGAUGUCGACAUUAAGAAAUAAGGUGCUCAAGUUAAAAAGGCGUGCUACUGUGAAAAGGAACACCACUUAGCAAACACAGUGGUGUACCAAUUAGAGUUUCCAAUUUGCUUAAGUGACUGCAGUUAAGGCUCUUGCCAAAUUUUUUCCACUAGCAGUUAAUUUUCAAUUUCACGCCAAUGCAACAUCACUACAGCAUUGUAUUCCAUCACUUCAGCAUUUUGUUUGUUCUUUGGAUGUUCAAUAUUAGUUGUUAAUUUGACAGGUUUUUUAACUUCUUUGCUGAGGCUUGAUUUGGUCUCUGGUAUUUAAUGGAGCAGAAGCUCAUAAAUUUUCCAGGCUUGCCACUUUUCUUUUGUGCUUAUCCCUGGACUUCCAUGUGUCAUUUGAUUUAAGAAACUCAAGUAAUUUCACAAAUUAUACAGUAUAAAAUAUAUUAAAUCUAUGUUGGAAAAGUAAUUUAAUUAAACAGCAAAAAUUUUACUGUAAUUAAUGAAGUUAAACUCUCAACAGAAUGUGAGCUAUCUAAUAAAUCAAGUGAUUGGCAAAUAAACACGUGGCUCAAAGUGAAGGUUUCUCUCUUUCGGCAGAUUUUACCCAUCUUUCCAUUUCUAAAUUCAGCAUAUUCAAAAUUUUUUGGCCCAAUGGAAUACUGAACUAGUGCAUGUUGUGUUUUAAUAAUAUUGAUUGUUAAUUGUGAGCCAACUGUUAUUGAAUUCCAUCCUAUGCAUAAUGAAAUCAAUGACACUUCCUUUCCAGCAGACAAGUUAUUUAUUGUUCAAUUUCUCACUUUUGCAUUUCACACUUAAUGUACAAUUA